Artibeus jamaicensis (Jamaican fruit-eating bat) is the source of this 103-nucleotide small nuclear RNA. NCBI's taxonomy places the organism in Eukaryota, Metazoa, Chordata, Mammalia, Chiroptera, Phyllostomidae. The record is from RefSeq and is a predicted model, not a curated record.
AUGCUCACUUCAGUAGCACUCAUGCUAAAAUUGGAACAACACAGAGAUUAGUGUGGCCCUUGCACAGGAUGACAUAAAAUUUGUUGAAGCAUCUCAUAUUUUG